This 599-nucleotide ribosomal RNA is filed under the name Escherichia coli. RNAcentral describes it as "bacterial SSU rRNA". It matches the Rfam family "Bacterial small subunit ribosomal RNA", at positions 60 to 648 of the family's 1533-position model. The record is from RNAcentral. Lineage: Bacteria; Pseudomonadati; Pseudomonadota; Gammaproteobacteria; Enterobacterales; Enterobacteriaceae.
AGUCGAACGGUAACAGGAAACAGCUUGCUGUUUCGCUGACGAGUGGCGGACGGGUGAGUAAUGUCUGGGAAACUGCCUGAUGGAGGGGGAUAACUACUGGAAACGGUAGCUAAUACCGCAUAACGUCGCAAGACCAAAGAGGGGGACCUUCGGGCCUCUUGCCAUCGGAUGUGCCCAGAUGGGAUUAGCUAGUAGGUGGGGUAACGGCUCACCUAGGCGACGAUCCCUAGCUGGUCUGAGAGGAUGACCAGCCACACUGGAACUGAGACACGGUCCAGACUCCUACGGGAGGCAGCAGUGGGGAAUAUUGCACAAUGGGCGCAAGCCUGAUGCAGCCAUGCCGCGUGUAUGAAGAAGGCCUUCGGGUUGUAAAGUACUUUCAGCGGGGAGGAAGGGAGUAAAGUUAAUACCUUUGCUCAUUGACGUUACCCGCAGAAGAAGCACCGGCUAACUCCGUGCCAGCAGCCGCGGUAAUACGGAGGGUGCAAGCGUUAAUCGGAAUUACUGGGCGUAAAGCGCACGCAGGCGGUUUGUUAAGUCAGAUGUGAAAUCCCCGGGCUCAACCUGGGAACUGCAUCUGAUACUGGCAAGCUUGAGUC